Molecule: non-coding RNA, 22 nt
Filed under: Mus musculus (house mouse)
Lineage: Eukaryota; Metazoa; Chordata; Mammalia; Rodentia; Muridae
Source: RNAcentral
UGGGUAGAAAUUGUCCUUCCCC